CAGACUGUCCACCCCCGAUCGCGGGCCCCAGCGAGCGGACAGACACCGCGCUCGCGGCCAGUUUGCCUCCUCUUAAAUGAAAACACUGGGGAGACACUUGAAGGAAGGACCAGAAAGCCCGAGUCCUCCUGUGCCCCGGCGGCGGGACUAGCGCCUGCCCUACAGGCAUGUCACCGCGGUGACUUCCGCACCUGCUGUCCCCCGGAGGGAGGUAGCAGAGACGGAAUCACCCCUGCUCUCAUCUCGCAGGCUUCCUCUUUGCUCCAAAAACCCAAGCAAGAACCACGAUCUCUAGAACUCCAGUAACCUUUGACAUGAAAGAGGUGACUGAAAGGAGAACAUCUACUCCGCAGAGGAUGGCAGUAUCUCUUGAUUGGUGAACAUUCCUAGACUAAAAUUAGGAGUUCUGUCUGUCAAAGACACCACUAAGAAAAGGAAAAUGGAAGCCAGAGAGUGGAAGAUGGGAAUUGUAACACAUAUGACUGACAAAGAAUUGUCACAGAUCUGUAAGAUUAACCCUGGAGAAGGAAAUGGCAACCCACUCCAGUACCCUUGCCUGGAAAAUUCCAUGGACAGGGGAGCCUGUUAGGCUACAGUCCAUGGGGUCACAAAGAGUCGGACACGACUGAGCGACUUCACUUUCUUUUUUUGCUUUGUAAGAUUAAAGAGCAGGUUAGACACUGCUGAAUUAAAAGAGACGUGAACGGAAGGAAUUAUUUGGAACACCACCUAAAAGGGCAGAGAUGCAAAAUAAAGAACUAUACCAAACAAUAAAGAAGUAAGUGUAAUAAGUUCUAGCAUAUAUAAAGGGACAAUAUUUAAGGACAUAAGACUAAGACUUUUUCAGGAAAUAACGGCUAAGAUUUAAAUGCUAAAAUAUCAGAAUCCAAGUGGACUUCAAGUAGGGGGGAAAAGUCCACAACUAGAAGUAACACAGAGAAGCUAUAGGACAUGAAAAAUGAAAGGUCUUGAGCUUCCCUGGUGGUACAGUGGAUGGGAGGCCACCUGUCAAUGCAAGGGACACUGGGUCAAUCUCUGGUCCAAGAAGAUUCCCCAUGCCAAGGAGCAGCUAAGCCAGUGCACCACAGCUACUGCGGCCACGCGCCUAGAGCCUGUGCUCUGCGACCAGAGAGACCACCGUCUUGAAAACCCUGCUCCCUGUGACUAGAGAGUAGCCCGCUAGCAGCAGUGAAGACCCAGCACAGCCAAAAAUUAAUUCAUUAAGAAAGACAAAAGAUCUUAAAAGCAUCCAAGAAAAAAGCUAGAUUACUUACAAAGAAAUGGCAAUGAGAGUAAAAUCUUGUUUUUCAGUGACCGUGGUAUUCGAGUCAUGACACUUCACUGUGCUCAGAGGAACUGAAGAGUUACCCACAGUUCUCCAUACUGACACUGUCUUUAAGAGCAAAGGUUAAAUAAAAACAUUUUCUGACUUAAAAACUAGGAGUGUUUUUCUCUAAGAGACACUCAUUAAAAGGACAUAUUACAAAUAUAUGGAGAAAAACCUCAGGUGGAAUGUCCAAGGGACGAGAAGAAAUUGCGAGUAAAGGUAUCAGCAAAUAUAAAUAAAUACAGAUGGUAUAAAAUAAAGUAGUGUCUAGUUUAGGAGUGUGGGUAAUAGAAUACAACUAAAAUACUGAACAACUGGAUGAGUGGUGCUUUGCAGUUAAGAGAACAGAUACUAAAUACAGAUUUCUUCGGUUCAAAUCCCAACUCCGGUACUAAUUAUCUGCUACUUCUUGCCCUACUUCGUGUGUGCUCAGCUGCUCAGUCGUAGCCAACUCUUUGCGACCCCAUGGACUGUAGCCCACCAGGCUCCUCUCCAAACAAGAAUACUGGAGUGGGUUGCCAUUUCCUCCUCCAGGGGA
Long non-coding RNA from Cervus elaphus (red deer), 1865 nucleotides. RefSeq lists it as uncharacterized. NCBI's taxonomy places the organism in Eukaryota, Metazoa, Chordata, Mammalia, Artiodactyla, Cervidae. The transcript is spliced from 3 exons. The record is from RefSeq and is a predicted model, not a curated record.